AUUGAACGCUGGCGGCAUGCUUUACACAUGCAAGUCGAACGGUAACAGGCCGCCAGGUGCUGACGAGUGGCGAACGGGUGAGUAAUGCAUCGGAACGUGCCCAGUCGUGGGGGAUAACUACUCGAAAGAGUAGCUAAUACCGCAUACGAUCUAUGGAUGAAAGCGGGGGACCGUAAGGCCUCGCGCGAUUGGAGCGGCCGAUGUCAGAUUAGGUAGUUGGUGGGGUAAAGGCUCACCAAGCCAACGAUCUGUAGCUGGUCUGAGAGGACGACCAGCGACACUGGGACUGAGACACGGCCCAGACUCCUACGGGAGGCAGCAGUGGGGAAUUUUGGACAAUGGGCGCAAGCCUGAUCCAGCAAUGCCGCGUGCAGGAAGAAGGCCGUCGGGUUGUAAACUGCUUUUGUACGGAACGAAACGGCUCUGGUUAAUACCCGGGGCUAAUGACGGUACCGUAAGAAUAAGCACCGGCUAACUACGUG
Molecule: ribosomal RNA, 482 nt
Filed under: uncultured bacterium
Lineage: Bacteria
Description: partial 16S ribosomal RNA
Rfam family: Bacterial small subunit ribosomal RNA
Source: RNAcentral